UAGGGAAUCUUCCGCAAUGGGCGAAAGCCUGACGGAGCAACGCCGCGUGAGUGAUGAAGGGUUUCGGCUCGUAAAACUCUGUUAUUAGGGAAGAACAAAUGUGUAAGUAACUGUGCACAUCUUGACGGUACCUAAUCAGAAAGCCACGGCUAACUACGUGCCAGCAGCCGCGGUAAUACGUAGGUGGCAAGCGUUAUCCGGAAUUAUUGGGCGUAAAGCGCGCGUAGGCGGUUUCUUAAGUCUGAUGUGAAAGCCCACGGCUCAACCGUGGAGGGUCAUUGGAAACUGGGAAACUUGAGUGCAGAAGAGGAAAGUGUAAUUCCAUGUGUAGCGGUGAAAUGCGCAGAGAUAUGGCGGAACACCAGUGGCGAAGGCGACUUUCUGGUCUGUAACUGACGCUGAUGUGCGAAAGCGUGGGGAUCAAACAGG
RNAcentral lists this ribosomal RNA (429 nucleotides) under Bacillota bacterium. RNAcentral's name for it is "Firmicutes bacterium partial 16S ribosomal RNA". It matches the Rfam family "Bacterial small subunit ribosomal RNA", at positions 355 to 776 of the family's 1533-position model. Lineage: Bacteria; Bacillati; Bacillota. The record is from RNAcentral.